UGUGGUUGGACACAAGAAGCUCUGGAUCACGGCCUAAUAGGUGCAGCAUCUCUUCACAGCUUUGCGCACACUUCACACUUCAGCUUCACCUCUUCAUGGAACCGGUUUGAAGUCUCCCCCUCUCAACUGACUUCGCAGCCAUCUUAGAGAAGCUAGGACACGACCAGAUCAUCUUCAAAACACCAGUGAGGCUGAUCAACACUUCACACAUGACCUGCCCUCUUCAUCAACCAGGUUUGGAAUCUCCCCCUCUCAACAGACUUCGCAGCCUCUUUAGAGAAGCUAAGAGAUGAUCCGGAACUGUUUAAUGAGGCUACAAGCAAUGGUACCUGAUACAUUAUCCCAAAGGUGCAUCAGUACCUAUAAAACCAAGAAAAUGAAUAUCCUGCAUCACACUUGAUGCACACAAUCUCACAAUUCAAUCAUAAUCAUUUUAAGCAUCUUUUCAAGCACAAGCAAUGAAUAAGAUGAAUGACAAGGAUUGAAAAGAGUUUUAAAAGUCUAAGGGAACUUCCCUUGU
Molecule: long non-coding RNA, 520 nt
Filed under: Brassica napus (rape)
Lineage: Eukaryota; Viridiplantae; Streptophyta; Magnoliopsida; Brassicales; Brassicaceae
Description: long non-coding RNA (BNAP_LNC025281)
Source: RNAcentral